Molecule: long non-coding RNA, 218 nt
Filed under: Capsicum annuum
Lineage: Eukaryota; Viridiplantae; Streptophyta; Magnoliopsida; Solanales; Solanaceae
Description: long non-coding RNA (CANN_LNC001246)
Source: RNAcentral
GUUAUUGUCUGUUUUAUGAUUGUGGGUGGCUUAUACAUUCUCUUUACUCGAUAUUGGUAUCAUAUUUCCUGUUUUUUAUUGAUAUCAUGUUCUUGACUGUAGGUUGAUUAUAUGCAUCUAUCUUUGUGCUAUCUAUUUUACGCUUUAUUGCUGAUUACUUCUUGCUUCAUUCUCUAUUGGUAAUGUUGCCUUUUUGUGAGCUGGUUGUAUCUAAUUAC